Schistosoma rodhaini is the source of this 45-nucleotide non-coding RNA. The record is from Rfam. Lineage: Eukaryota; Metazoa; Platyhelminthes; Trematoda; Strigeidida; Schistosomatidae.
AUCCAGCUGACGAGUCCCAAAUAAGAUGGAACGCGCGUUCUAGAU